Molecule: unclassified non-coding RNA, 183 nt
Filed under: uncultured Cortinarius
Lineage: Eukaryota; Fungi; Basidiomycota; Agaricomycetes; Agaricales; Cortinariaceae
Description: sequence contains ITS2
Source: RNAcentral
AUAUAUAUCAACCUCUUCUUGUUGAGUGGUUUGGAUGUGGGGGUUUUGCUGGCCUCUUGAAAGGGUCAGCUCCUCUGAAAUGCAUUAGCAGAACGACCUGUUCAUUGGUGUGAUAAACUAUCUACGCUAUUGAAUGGUGAAGGCAGUUCAGCUUCCUAACAGUCCUUGGACAAUUUAUCAUUA